Long non-coding RNA from Canis lupus familiaris (dog), 1339 nucleotides. RefSeq lists it as uncharacterized. NCBI's taxonomy places the organism in Eukaryota, Metazoa, Chordata, Mammalia, Carnivora, Canidae. The record is from RefSeq and is a predicted model, not a curated record. The transcript has 3 exons.
GGGAGGAGGGCAGCGGGACCGCCAGCUGGGAAACAGGAGACGCUCGCCAGGGCGUGCCAGACCCCGACUCGCAGACACAGGACCUCCCCCGCCCCGGAGCCCACGGCCUAUCUCCCGAGACAGGUGCUCACGCAGGGAGUAGGGGGGUCAGUCCCCGACGCGGGGCCCCUGAGGCUGGCCGCACUGUUGGCGUGUGCCCUGCCCCAGGCUCCCUGUUAGCUCCAGAAGGGUCCAGACUCUGCAGGGCUGGCCAGGUGGGCGAGUGGGUGCCCCCUUUGACAGCAGCCGCUGGUGGGAGACGUGGAGCCCUGAAGCAGGAAGAAAACGCGAGCCCGCGUGGAGAGGGAGGGGUGGUGAGAUAGCAGGGACUGGAGCUGAGAGCCCGGGGCCCUGGGUGGGAGGGGCCCACCGGAGGAAUGUCGCUGUGUGUGUCCCUAGAAGUCUCAACCCAGCAGUUAACCACGGGGGAGGCAGGAUACAGGCCCAGAGAAGUGGCAUGACUUGCUCUAGAAGAUCACGGAACCAGGAUGCUGGAGAGGCAGGGCUGGACCCUCGCAAGGAGCGUUUCCAGGAGCAGACUUGACCAACGCCCGAACCAAGAGGCUGAAAAGUGAUGGAAAGGACCUCAAAGACUAUCAAGUUCCAUCCUCCCAUUUUCCGGAAGAAAGUCCAACCUGAAAGCCAAAGAUGCAAGUGAGGGUCUCAACACCACAUGGCUAUGAAGGAAAGAGCGCUAAGAAGCAUAUUUAUACUGAAGCUCCGAUUGAAGUUGUUCUUUUAUCCAGCCUGCGUCACUCCUUUGUACGCACACCUGGCCCUGUGACACUAAGUUGGGAGCCCUGUUCUAACCUCUGUUAUCAUCACACAGCACCAGAGGGAGAGGAGGGCUGCCAGGCUGCAUUUGCAACCAGUCCCUCUGUGCAUCGGUACAGAAAGGCCAGAACUAUGAGAGGAUAAGAAGCAUGGCAUCGAGAACAUGGUCAAUAAUAUUGGAAUAACCUUGAAUGGUGACAGAUGGUGGCCACACUUACCGUGGUCAGCAUUUCAUAGUGUAUAGAAUUGUCUAUACUGUGUUGUACACCCUGAAACUAAUAUACAAUGUGUCAACUAUACUUCAAUUAAUUUUUUUAAUUAAAAAAAAUGCUAGAACUGGUGCAUUAGAGACCCUUGGGCAGGGAGUUUCCCAGAUGGUCAUUAAGUCAUCUACCCCCCACCUAGAAUCUCAAGACAACCUCAGGAAAGUACAAUUGAGAUGAACAAAGCUGUAAUCUUCCGAGAUGUGUUAUAUGGCUACCAAACAAAUAGGUGUUUAGAAAGAAGCAUAUUGUGAAAAGAGUCC